CACGUAAGGAGCGAGCGUUGUUCGGAAUUAUUGGGCGUAAAGGGCUUGUAGGCGGUUGUCUAAGUCUGGAGUAAAAGGCCACAGCUUAACUGUGGAAAUGCUCUGGAAACUGGACGACUGGAAUUAGUGAGGGGAAACUGGAAUUCCUGGUGUAGGGGUGAAAUCUGUUGAUAUCAGGAAGAACACCUGAGGCGAAGGCGAGUUUCUGGCACAUAAUUGACGCUGAUAAGCGAAAGCGUAGGUAGCGAACAGG
RNAcentral lists this ribosomal RNA (253 nucleotides) under uncultured bacterium. RNAcentral describes it as "partial 16S ribosomal RNA". It matches the Rfam family "Bacterial small subunit ribosomal RNA", at positions 524 to 776 of the family's 1533-position model. The record is from RNAcentral.